RNAcentral lists this long non-coding RNA (252 nucleotides) under Elaeis guineensis (African oil palm). RNAcentral's name for it is "long non-coding RNA (EGUI_LNC072653)". Lineage: Eukaryota; Viridiplantae; Streptophyta; Magnoliopsida; Arecales; Arecaceae. The record is from RNAcentral.
GAUAGGAGACAUCGGGAUAGAGGUUGGGAAGAGGGAGAGACAAUCAUCAUCUUGAUUGGCUCUCCAAUCAAGAGGAGGGGGGUGAUCUAGAACUACAGCUAGAAAAAUCAUCUUUAGAAGAUUGGUUGAGGUCCAUCUUCUGGGAGAAAAUUGUUAGAUUCUUAUGUUAGAAGGGACAAUUUCACAUCGUGCUAAAGUGUCCACAUGUCCAAACAAAUCAACACUAUCCAUAGCCCUAAGUGUACCAUCCUU